Long non-coding RNA from Corticium candelabrum, 899 nucleotides. RefSeq lists it as uncharacterized. The transcript has 2 exons. The record is from RefSeq and is a predicted model, not a curated record. NCBI's taxonomy places the organism in Eukaryota, Metazoa, Porifera, Homoscleromorpha, Homosclerophorida, Plakinidae.
UGUGUAGUGCCGUCACCUGUUUGGAUCGAUGUAGGUGUCGUAAACGUCUCGUGUGUGUGCGAGCUGUCGCUAAUGCUCUCGAUGUGAGAAAUUUGUGUUGGUGGGGAGUGGGCGUGGUCGCUUGUAGAGUGAUGGUUGAGCUUUUCGGCGUUGUAACAGACUGUAGGGUGCACUCGUGUCUCUCUGUAUUGGUUGGUAUGAAUGGAAAAGGCGGGAAGUUGUGUGUGUCAUUUUUAUCUGUUUGUGUGCUACAGCUGUGUCUUGUUGUGUGUUAUUGUAGGUGUGUGUGUUGGCUCGUUGAAACCUGCUCAUCAUCUCUGCUUGUUUCAAGUGUGACAGCGUCGAGAGCAAAUACUUCACAUUGAACUCUUCAGCGUUCACUCUCUGUCAUAGAGUGCCGGCUCAUCAGCAGAGAACAUGUCCAAUGAACACGUGACUAUCUGUUUUGAAAGGAUGAAUGGAAGAUGGGUGAGGAGAAGCAAGGAGACGGAUGUCUACAGCAUGGGAGUCACCCUGGUGGAGCUGAAUGUUUACUGUUCAAUCACUUGCUAGGAUCCUCAUCAGAGAGAUGACCGAGUGCAUCAACUAUGACAGCAGAGACUGGUCACACUGGCAUGUGAUCAUAACUGAUGGCUGUGAUGUCGACUAAGGGAAAGAAACUGGCAACUUUGGGAUGAGGAUUUUCCUGUACAACAAGAGGAAAAAUGAAAGCUGGACAUUUGUGAGUGUGUGAGAAGGAUAUGUAGUGUUAGUAUGAGUACAUUAGCAAACUUUCCAACUGUGUCAUCACGUGUGACAAUAACUCUUCUAGCAUAUAGUCUCAUGCUUACUGCAUUACAUCCUUGUCAGUCAUUGGUAUAUAUCACAAUACAAGUACAGCAAUAAUUGUUAUACUCUAA